Molecule: ribosomal RNA, 440 nt
Filed under: uncultured bacterium
Lineage: Bacteria
Description: partial 16S ribosomal RNA
Rfam family: Bacterial small subunit ribosomal RNA
Source: RNAcentral
CCUACGGGAGGCAGCAGUGGGGAAUAUUGCACAAUGGGGGAAACCCUGAUGCAGCGACGCCGCGUGAGUGAAGAAGGACUUCGGUAUGUAAAGCUCUAUCAGCAGGGAAGAAAAUGACGGUACCUGAGUAAGAAGCCCCGGCUAACUACGUGCCAGCAGCCGCGGUAAUACGUAGGGGGCAAGCGUUAUCCGGAUUUACUGGGUGUAAAGGGAGCGUAGACGGCAGGGCACGUCGGCAGUGAAAGGCCGGGGCUCAACCCCCGAACUGCUGUGGAAACUGUUCGGCUAGAGUGCAGGAGUGGUAAGUGGCAUUCCUAGUGUAGCGGUGAAAUGCGUAGAUCUUAGGAGGAACACCAGUGGCGAAGGCGGCUUACUGGACUUUAACUGACGUUGAGGCUCGAAAGCGUGGGGAGCAAACAGGAUUAGAUACCCUUGUAGUC